Molecule: long non-coding RNA, 465 nt
Organism: Ipomoea triloba (trilobed morning glory)
Lineage: Eukaryota; Viridiplantae; Streptophyta; Magnoliopsida; Solanales; Convolvulaceae
Exons: 2
Source: RefSeq, a predicted model, not a curated record
AAAUAAAAAAAGAUCCGAGAAUGGCUGCCAACCAAAAGUUUGUUGCCGUGUUUUUGAUGUUUAUGGUUGCUCUCUCCUCUAUGCAGGUUGUCCCUGUCUCUGCCAACUUUAUGGAAUCAAGAUCGACCAGUUUUGAAGCAUCUGAUCUUGAGGGUGCGGGGACCACUCUUGGUGCGUCUAAGAAGGUUGCGGCAGAACAAGAUACAGUGGUCGAUCCAAUGAUGUCAAAGAAUACUUAAAAAUUAAGGGGAAGAACACCAACCACAAGACAUACAUGUUUUAGAAUAAAAAUGUGCUUAGUACAUACCAAAUAAUUAUGUGUUAUUUUCAAUUUCUUUGUAGUCUUAUAUAUAUUACUAUAGGUGAGUAGGUGCUAAAUUAUACUUAGAAAUGUAAUAAUGACAAUGUUCAAAUACAUUGUCUAAUCAAUAGAAUAAUAUUGGCAUGCAAUGAUUCAUCUGCUUG